RNAcentral lists this ribosomal RNA (806 nucleotides) under Rossellomorea marisflavi. RNAcentral describes it as "bacterial SSU rRNA". It matches the Rfam family "Bacterial small subunit ribosomal RNA", at positions 52 to 849 of the family's 1533-position model. Lineage: Bacteria; Bacillati; Bacillota; Bacilli; Caryophanales; Bacillaceae. The record is from RNAcentral.
UACAUGCAAGUCGAGCGGAUCGAUGGGAGCUUGCUCCCUGAGAUCAGCGGCGGACGGGUGAGUAACACGUGGGUAACCUGCCUGUAAGACUGGGAUAACUCCGGGAAACCGGGGCUAAUACCGGAUAACACCUACCCCCGCAUGGGGGAAGGUUGAAAGGUGGCUUCGGCUAUCACUUACAGAUGGACCCGCGGCGCAUUAGCUAGUUGGUGAGGUAAUGGCUCACCAAGGCGACGAUGCGUAGCCGACCUGAGAGGGUGAUCGGCCACACUGGGACUGAGACACGGCCCAGACUCCUACGGGAGGCAGCAGUAGGGAAUCUUCCGCAAUGGACGAAAGUCUGACGGAGCAACGCCGCGUGAGUGAAGAAGGUUUUCGGAUCGUAAAACUCUGUUGUUAGGGAAGAACAAGUGCCGUUCGAAUAGGGCGGCGCCUUGACGGUACCUAACCAGAAAGCCACGGCUAACUACGUGCCAGCAGCCGCGGUAAUACGUAGGUGGCAAGCGUUGUCCGGAAUUAUUGGGCGUAAAGCGCGCGCAGGUGGUUUCUUAAGUCUGAUGUGAAAGCCCACGGCUCAACCGUGGAGGGUCAUUGGAAACUGGGGAACUUGAGUGCAGAAGAGGAAGUGGAAUUCCAAGUGUAGCGGUGAAAUGCGUAGAUAUUUGGAGGAACACCAGUGGCGAAGCGACUUUCUGGUCUGUAACUGACACUGAGCGCGAAACCUGGGAGCAACCGAUUAGAUACCUGGUAGUCCACGCCGUAACGAUGAGUGCUAGUGUUAGAGGGUUUCCGCCCUUUAGUGCUGC